AGUGAACGCUGGCGGUAGGCCUAACACAUGCAAGUCGAACGGCAGCACAGUAAGAGCUUGCUCUUACGGGUGGCGAGUGGCGGACGGGUGAGGAAUAUAACGGAAUCUACUUUUUCGUGGGGCUAACGGAGGGAAACUUACGCUAAUACCGCAUACGACCUCCGGGUGAAAGCAGGGGAUCUUCGGACCUUGCGCGAUUGAAUGAGCCGAUGUCGGAUUAGCUAGGUGGCGGGGUAAAGGCCCACCAAGGCGACGAUCCGUAGCUGGUCUGAGAGGAUGAUCGCCGACACGGGAGCGGGAACAGGGACCAGACUCCUACGGGAGGGAGCAGUGGGGAAUAUUGGACAAUGGGCGCAAGCCUGAUCCAGCCAUACCGCGUGGGUGAAGAAGGCCUUCGGGUUGUAAAGCCCUUUUGUUGGGAAAGAAAAGCAGCAGGUUAAUACCCCGCUGUUCUGACGGUACCCAAAGAAUAAGCACCGGCUAACUUCGUG
RNAcentral lists this ribosomal RNA (491 nucleotides) under uncultured bacterium. Its description in RNAcentral is "partial 16S ribosomal RNA". It matches the Rfam family "Bacterial small subunit ribosomal RNA", at positions 29 to 507 of the family's 1533-position model. The record is from RNAcentral.